AGGCAUAAUGGCCCAUACCUGUGGUCCUUGCUGCUAGGAAGGCUAAGGCUGGUGGAUUUCUUGAGUUGGGGAUCUCCGAGCUACGGUAGGGCUAACGCCAAUCAGAUGUCAACAGUAAGUCUGACACAAAUAUGGUGGGCUCCCAGGAGUGGAGAACUACCAGGCUGCCUAAGGAGGAACAAACUGGCCCAGGUUGGAAAAGUAGAGCAAGUUAAAGCUUCCGUGGCAAGUCAUAUUGGAAUCAGUCCUAUGGUAGCUGUUGCAUUUCCUGCCUGGGCAAGGUAGAGAGAGACAGUCUCAA
This 301-nucleotide signal recognition particle RNA is filed under the name Vombatus ursinus (common wombat). RNAcentral's name for it is "Metazoan signal recognition particle RNA (ENSVURG00010018476.1)". It matches the Rfam family "Metazoan signal recognition particle RNA". Rfam says of the family: The signal recognition particle (SRP) is a universally conserved ribonucleoprotein. Lineage: Eukaryota; Metazoa; Chordata; Mammalia; Diprotodontia; Vombatidae. The record is from Rfam by way of RNAcentral.